Molecule: unclassified non-coding RNA, 6028 nt
Filed under: Monomorium pharaonis (pharaoh ant)
Lineage: Eukaryota; Metazoa; Arthropoda; Insecta; Hymenoptera; Formicidae
Description: iQ and ubiquitin-like domain-containing protein, transcript variant X1
Source: RNAcentral
GCGCGCGUGUGCGUGUGUAAAUAGGUGUGUUGUGUGUGUACACAUGACAUAAAAUAUCAAUUUACUUUUUUUGCUGACAUGGUAUAAUUUAAUAAAGUUUGAAAUGCUUUUAAAAAUAGGAGUAAUAUAGAAUCGUAGAAAGAAAAUAUACAGAGGGUGUCCUAAAACGUGGGUCAACGCUCGUAAAAAUGUAGAAGGGAUCGAGAUGAACAAAAAAAUCUUGCUUAGGUCUAAGCUGUGCUACAACUUAGGCGGUCCGAGCCUGCCUCUCUGCGCGCUCUUAUUAGUAUGAGUUGUAACAUUUUAAUGACUCAAUAAUUUUUGCAAAUAUCGCAAAAUAGUAGAAGAUUUUUUGUUCAUCUCGAUCCCUUCUACCUUUUUACGAGCGUUGACCCACCUGUUUUAGGACACCUUGUAUAAUUAUUCAUUUCUAUACAUAUAUAUACUUACAUAUAUAAUAAAUAAAUAAAUAAUUAUUAUAUAUAUAUAUAUAUAUAUAAAGAAUUAAGAAGAUUAAUGAAAGGGACAAUAUUUUAACAUUUAGUAAAUAUACGUGUUUAGAAUUGUAAAAGCAGUUUAUCAGAGGUAGAUUCUGUAUUUCUGAAGAAAGUGAAAAUGUGAAAAGUGAGUAGCACUGUCUCCAUUGAUUGGUGUAUACUUUUAGGAUUAACGAUAUACACUACCAAUCACUGUUGUUCACUUUUCUUAUUUUCACUUCUUCAAAAAUACAGAAUCGAUCUCUAAAGAGUAAGAAUAUUUAUGACGUCAAGUAUAUUUGUAAAAUUUGCUAUCGAUAUAAAUAAAGGAAUAAACGAUUUAGUAACAAUAAUAUAACCACUUUUGAGAUAAUGUCGGUUAGAAUAGAAAGACAAAGGAUUCUCAAACCUUACUUAGGUGGAUGGCGACAUAAAAUUACUGGAGUAAAAUAUGUAAAUGCAACUUCCCAGACUGGGCCUUUGUCAAAACUAGUACCAUGGAAGAACACAUAUAGUAGAUCAGUGCAAUGCAUGCAAACGAAAGACGAAGCAACACAAUCACUACGUCAUUGCGCGACGCAAAUGUGGCGGGACGACUAUUAUGUACCUAACGAUGCGGAUAAAUAUAUGACUGUAAAGUGUUAUGAGAAUUACGCUGAUAUGCAGCUUAAUUUAGAUCGGCAUGCACGUGUAAUUCAGAGAAAUUACCGAGCAUACAAAUGGCGAAAAUAUAUCAAGAAAUGUGCGCAAGCUUAUCGUAACAUACUUGAGGACUGCAAGAGCUACGAAGAAGAGAAAGCUAUAGCAAAUAAAUUGCGGCAUAAACAGAAUAUUCUUCGCCAAAUAUAUCCGCAAUCGAGAGCGGAUUUUGACAUGCUUUACAAUCUGGUUGAAAGAUGGAGGAUAGAUCGUUUGAAGGAUGUAAAAUCGCGAUUUUUUAAGGCAUGUCAACGUACCGAGCGUUACAGAAUUUUAGAAAAAACAGUGGAGAUGCUCAAUCACAUCGAUAAACAUAAACAAGCCAUCAAGAAAUCGUAUCAAAAACAAAGAGCACUCAGAUUUUUAACAUUGAAUUGCAAGCCAAUACGAUGGAAUGGAUACAAGGGUAAACUUGUGGAAAUGGUUACUAUAAAAAUUCAAAAGGCUCGAGAAUUUAAAGAAAUUUAUAACGCAUUGAACAAUUGUGACGCUAGUUCAGAGGAACGCGUGAAAUUAUUGACAACAUUGAAAAAGUCAAUUGAGCCGCACAAUUGUAUAGAGGCCCUUGAUUUAUCGUCUUUAUUAGAUCAAGAAAUUGCGUUGUUAAAUCAAAAGAUUGAGGAUUUAUCGCUCGAUUAUUUAAACGAAAGAAUAACACACACAUACUUGAAUUUUGUAAGAAUGUAUGGUAUUUGCGGUUGCGAAUGUGUCAUUGGGGAUUCUAAAGACAACGAAUUGCGAGAACCUUUGGAAACAGAAACAAAAUUUUGCCGGAAUUGUUUGAGACUUCUUCCCAUACGUAGAUUUUUACCACACACUAGAAUGACAAAGCUGACAAUUUGCAGCAGCUGCAGUUCUCUAAGUCAACGUAAUAUUGCACAUGUGGAUUACGAUCCUUACAUGUUUAUAUUAAAUUGCGUACGUGCUGAGGAGAAACGUCGAGGCAGCGCUUUUGCUUUGGCAUUUAUGAUGCAAGAGCAAGAUAUUUAUUAUUUAGUUAAUCAUAUCUGGCAAGGUCAAUCGGCAAUCAGCAAAAUUAGCGAUCUUUUCCUUUUAAGAAUGGUUAGAUAUCAAAAGAAUGUCGAAUGGGCACCUUGGAACUGUAUUCUUCUUACAAAAGACGAAGCCGACAUACACUAUUACAUUAAUGAUCUUGCUAUGAUAUAUUCCAAGCAUUUGAUAAACAAGAUUAAUUUGAGACAUCAGAUUGCAAAGAAUUAUUUUAAACAGUUAAUUAUUUUCGAAAAAGAUUUUCGAGAAUCUUGUCGCUUUUCAAAGAUCCAAAGUGGAAUAAAGUAUAAACCACCAGUAACAGUGGAAAAUUAUGAUUUUUCUAAAAAAUAUAAAAAAUAUAAAAAAUACAAGCUGUGAGAAAAAGUUUCAUCACUCCAAUUAAAUCUCUUCGUAAUAUUUUUCAAUCAAUUCAACUUUAAUGUGUCGGACCAUUGCAUCUAUUACAAACUAUAUAUUGGUAUGGUGAUUGGUCGAAAUUUAAUAAACUUUUAUUACAAAUAAAAUACACUUUACAAAAGUUUUAUUUCGUCAUCGGAUUUCACUGUAUUUUGUUUGUCUAAAUAUUGUCUGAAUAAAAUGUGCGGUUUAUUUACAUAUGAAUUCAUAAAAAGAGAAAAAGCAAAAUAAAAAAAGCUUUGAUAUGUUUUCACAGUUAUUACAAAUUGGAAAUUGAUUAGAGUUAGUUAAUAUUUUAAAAUUUUAUUAUUAACUGAUAAAAUUUUAUCUAAUAUUAUCUUAUUUCUUAUGUUAAUCUCAUGUGUAAUAACAGUAAUGCAUAAACGGUAGAAAUCGUUAUUAUUACUAUCUUAUAUGAACUGCGUGCCGUUGGGUUUAAAAAUCUAUUAAAUAUUAUAAAAAACGUGAAACAAUACUAUCAAAACUGUUACAUUAUUCGAUAGAAAACACUUUCUGGUUUAUGUUUUUAAACAAUAACUGAAAUUGAAUCGAUGAAAAUAUUAAACAUAAAGAUGAAGAUAAUAUAUAUAUAAAAUUUGAAAAAAGAAAUUGUUAAUGAAAUUAAUAGAUUUUUAUUAUAAAUUACAUUUAUUGUAGCAAUAUAUACAUUUUAUGUGCGUCUAUCAUAUAUCAAUUUAUUAUUAAGAAAAGUAUGAAUUUUUCUGAACUGCCGAUACGUAUUGUUCAAGUCUCCGGAGAAAUAACAGAAAAGGUUUUUACGACUAUCGUAUAUGCAACGUUGCUCUGAGAAUCGGGUGAUAUUGCUCGGAUGCAACUGGCGAUAGUGAAAGCUUUUACGUAAGGAAUGUACACCAACGGCGGUAAAAACGGUUUUUGCACUAUAAAAGCUAUUGCGUAACGGGAUAUAAAUUGUUCGUUGUUCCAGAGCCAGGCACCGUUCGCUAUCGCAUCACUUUAUCGUCGUAAUACAAUCUGGCUUAUACUUGCAUUGCAAAUAUCUACUACCCUUAAUUAGUCCCGCGGGCGAAUAAUUCGAAUCCCGUUUUACGUUCAAUGCAAUUUGUUAAAGUGGAAAUUGAAAAAAGAAGAGGAAAACGGUAAUUAUCGAAACUCUCGAAGCGUAUCCAGAUCAACUUGAGAGUUUAGUUUAACUUAAUAUUAAGAAAACGUCGGAACACACGUAUCGUGAAAGCUUAUCAAUUUUGAUACUCUUGAGGUUUUAAGGCGCAUGUGUGGCCUAAAUGCGUUAUAUAUGCAUCUUACAGAGAACGCUGAAAGCGGAGAUGUAUGAAUGCCGUCGAAAAUUCUCUGCCCUAGGGCGCAUAAUGUCCGCCACAUACAGUCUGAAUUCAUAUCCGUCGCGGAGGCUUUUGAACCGAGGAACACAAAAUCGAAAAAUAAUGGACAAGAGAAGGCUUUUGACCGAUCGACCAAGCACGUUGCCGUUGGCAACGUUGGAUUUAAGGCUUUGAGCUUUCAGGUGCCGCGCUGCGGAGUCUCGCAUAUGGGGGGUAGGUAGUACGUAGGUAGCAUUAAAAGCUACUCUUCGACGCGAUCUACUUAUCCCAUUGGAUCGCGAGUGUCAAAAUUUGAUCGACGAUGUGCACCACUUUGCGCAGCAACUCAGUUUAAUCCGACUAAAUCGUUCAAUCUUUCGCGAAAUGCAAUCGCUUUGCGAUAAAAGCAUUUUUACGGGCGAUGAUAUAAUUUUAGUAAAUCACAUAAAACCGUAUUAGAAUUAUAAAGUUAUACGAAGGUGUUUAAAGAUUUUAUUUAAAUUAUGAAAUUCUUGUGAUAUUGCGGCAACAAAGUGCUUUGCGUUGCUCUCGGUAAGUCUCAAUAAAUUUUCUUUCGCUAAUUUCCAAGGUAUUUAUUUUGAGAGUUUAUUAUAAAUUUUCAUAGCAGAGAAAAUUGCUAGCAGAGAGGUUCCAACACAAUGAACGCUGUAGCAGUAUCGACAAAAAUAAGCUGCAUUAAUAAUAAAUAGUAUCUGGUAUAUAAGAUCAUAAAGUAUAUAACACAAUUAAAAUCAUAAGGUCAACGAACAGUUAUAAUCUUAAAAGUUGAAUCAGAAUAAGUUAAGCCAGAAUAUCCCAAUAUUAAUUUGAUAAUCAAUUUAAUAUUAUGACAUUACUAUUCUGAUUCAAGACGAAAUACAUUAUUGAGCGACUAAAAUCUGUGUUAUAACUGUUCUCGUUUUGGUCUUACUUAGAUUUAAAAAAUGCAUUAAUAUUUAUGUACCGCAAAUAAUUGCACCGCGAAGCAAUUAAAUUCGAUAAAUGUAAGGAUUUUUCGUAAUAUUCGGAUCCCCAAUCAUUAUUGACGCUCUCAUAUUCCUCGGGUAUCCAAUUAAGGGUGCACUCUUAUAAAAACGGAAAACAAGCACUUUUUUCUUUGCAUUUGCUACAUUUGUGUUAAUUACUUUCCUUGUGGAAUUACGCUGUUCACCGUGUGUUUCCAUCAACAUUCAUUUCUUGCUACGAAAUCAUUCAUGAGAGGUGCAAUCGAUCGACUCGUUUGUUUAUUCUCUUCUUUCAUCAUUGUGCGCUAACAAAGCUGCACCAGUUACGUCGAUAUGUUAUUACACGUGUUGCGUAUAAAACGAUUUUCAAUUGUGAUUUCAUUUUUCAAAUCUUUUUUCUUUGUAAAAUAGUUUUGAUGUAAAAGAGACUGGCUGGUCAGAUUAUUAAAGAAGCAUUAGCUUUCGUAAUAUGAAACCAUUUUCCGUUCCAUCGAUUACCAAUGUGGGUACACUGGAAGGCGUGGUACUUCAUAAAAUUCAGCUUUCCAUCAAAAAUCCUUCGUACCUCAAUAGACCUUUUCUUUCCCUUCGUUCCCUUUAAAGCGCUGUAUAUUCAGACAUUUUAUAGAGUGCUUUACAAAUGGAAAUUGUAGAAUUACUUUAUAUAUGCAUUAUGUUUUUAUAGGAUAAUCUCGUAGAUUUAUUAUAAGAUAAUUAAAUGUCAAACAUAAAGAUGAGAGAGUCUAUAGCGAAUUUUGGUAUUAAUAUUUUAAUAAUAUUUUUUGUUUGAAUUUUUACAAGCUCACGUGAACUGCACGCUGCGUAUUCGUUGGUCGUGAAACACAGUCUUUUUAUAAUUUUUUUAAUGUUUUUGAGCAUUUACUCGUUAAUUAAUUUAUGAUAUUAUAUUUCGACAAAGACUGUGUUUCGAGACCGACGAAUAGGUCGCGCACAGUUGAAGAUUGUAAAAAUUUAUACAAAAAUUAUUAUUUAGUACCAAAACGGCUAUAAAUCGAUAUUGGCGCUCUCAUUUUUAAAUAUGACAUUUUCAUCAAUUCAUAAUCUUAUUACUGUUGAUAAAUUAUAUGUUUACGAUAGAAAAUAUUUUACUGACGGAAGUAAAAAUAAAUAAAAACAAGUGAAAACAAAUUAUAGACUUUUACAUAAAAAAAAAAAAAAA